CGGAAAGUCUCCCGCGGGGAGGGGCGCGCUACCUUCCCGAGUGACGUAACUUCCGGUUAUGCGCCGCCCUUCAGCUCCGGGCGCCGGAGCCGUCCUUUUGGAACCGGGCAAAGGUGUCUGCGCAGACUCGGCGUCGCCCGGGAUCUCACUGGGAAGGGCGGUGGGAACCUGCGUGGGAACGGCGGCGCUCGGAAUGCUUUUGCUCGCGCCGUGUAUGGGUUGAACUGUGUCCCCAAAAAGUUAUGUUCAAGUCCUAACCUUCAGUACCUGUGAAUGUGACCUUAUUUGGAAAUAGGGUCUUGGCAGAGCCCAGUUCAAUCGUCAGGCUGGACCUGACAAUUGGCGCCUGAACAGGUCACUGAGGACUUGGGACACAGAAGGUGAGGAACUCCUCCGGAAAAAAGAGUGCACUCGUAAAGAAGGAGCAAUGCAGCCAAUUCGGGUGCCAGAGAGUUACGUGUGUCACCGAAAUGGACUCAGACAAGCUCCUGUGUCCCUUCACUCGAAAGGACUAAGUACUACCCUAAUGACAGCAGAGGAAGCAGAAAAACUGAAAGCUACGCAAGGGACUGAGGUGCCAACAUAGAGUCAUCUGAAGAAGUUAACAACUGAAGUGCAGCAGAUUAUGGAAAAGCAAGAAGUUGAAGCUACUUCAACCAUGUUCCUGCUCAUGCUAGCAUCUAUUAGCUGCAGGUCUUGUGCAAAGUUUUACGCAGGCAAACAAAAGACUCUAAGUAAAUAUACACCAGGAACACCAGCAGCAAAAGAGACUUUCUUUCAUUUAGUAGCUAAAAAUAUUAAUAUGUCCAUAGUUUUGAUUUCUCUCUUAUUGUUUUAUUAUUAUUUAAUAGCCAUAGUUUUGCUGUUAACAUUCAAGUUUUAAAAAUGAUAACAUGUAUAUAAUUUAAUUUUGCAUUGGCAUUGUUUUAAUAUUAGAGCUUUGUUAUUGAUAUUUAAAAUUUACUUUUAUUAUUAGUAGCCUAAAAAACAGACAUCAGUAGAUUACAUGGAGAGAUUCAAGCUAUUAAUGAUGUAAGUUCUGCUCUGUUGCCUCCUAGCGAAGUGGCACAGAAUAUUUUUGAUAAAAUUCUAAGCCUUAUGUUUUCUCAUGGAUUGCAGUCAUUCACCUGGUCUCUGUUAAUUAUUGUUACCCUUGCUCUCGUUAUUCUCUGUUUAAUUCCAGUCUGCUUCCGAACCAUUGGAUCCAGCAUCCAGUCCCUGCAAAUAGGACUACAUGAACUUUGCUUAAAAGACAGAGAAGGGAGAUCUGUGGGGAGCGGGCUGUAAGCUGACACGGUCCUUGCACCUGUAGGGGCUAGCAAGGCUGGCACCUACCCCCACAGAUUUCCCAGGCCUGUGUGGAUGGCAACUAAUCAGUAUAACGAGAGCAGCCCCUGCCUACAGAGCUUUCCCAGGGUUUGUUUAUAUGACUGCUAUCAGUAGGAUAAGAGCUACUUUCAUGGCUUACCAAGA
This is a long non-coding RNA of Eptesicus fuscus (big brown bat), 1473 nucleotides long. RefSeq lists it as uncharacterized. The transcript is spliced from 4 exons. Lineage: Eukaryota; Metazoa; Chordata; Mammalia; Chiroptera; Vespertilionidae. The record is from RefSeq and is a predicted model, not a curated record.